Molecule: ribosomal RNA, 194 nt
Filed under: uncultured bacterium
Lineage: Bacteria
Description: partial 16S ribosomal RNA
Rfam family: Bacterial small subunit ribosomal RNA
Source: RNAcentral
CCUACGGGAGGCAGCAGUGGGGAAUAUUGGACGAUGGGCGCAAGCCUGAUCCAGCAAUGCCGCGUGGGUGAAGAAGGCCUUCGGGUUGUAAAGCCCUUUUGUACGGGAAGAAAUCAUCCGGGUUAAUACCCUGGGCGGAUGACGGUACCGUAAGAAUAAGCACCGGCUAACUUCGUGCCAGCAGCCGCGGUAAU